UCGAGAAUCUUCCGCAAUGGACGAAAGUCUGACGGAGCGACGCCGCGUGAUGGACGAAGUGCUUCGGCACGUAAACAUCUUUUAUGUGGGACGAAAUUAUUGACGGUACCACAGGAAUAAGGGGCUCCUAACUCUGUGCCAGCAGGAGCGGUAAUACAGAGGCCCCAAGCAUUACCCGGAAUCACUGGGCGUAAAGGGUGUCGAGGCGGCUAUGUUAGUCUUCCGUAAAAUCCGUGGGCUCAACCUACGGUCGGCGGGGGAAACGGCAUAGCUUGAGAGCAGGAGAGGUGCAUGGAACUCACGGUGUAGGGGUGAAAUCCGUUGAUAUCGUGGGGAACACCAAAGGCGAAGGCAGUGCACUGGCCUGUUUCUGACGCUCACACACGAAAGCCAGGGGAGCGAACGGG
Molecule: ribosomal RNA, 407 nt
Filed under: uncultured bacterium
Lineage: Bacteria
Description: bacterial SSU rRNA
Rfam family: Bacterial small subunit ribosomal RNA
Source: RNAcentral